AUCGCUUUAAUUGUCUCCAGCGUGCCACAGAUCAAUCUCACAGCCGUUUCAGAUGUGCUCAAAUCAGAACACACACCUAAUCACCGGCAGCAAUUAUUAAGCAGACCGCAUGCAGAAACGACUUCAGUGGACAUAAAUACGCAAAGACUCCGGUGAAAAGAGACGGUCUGUGAGCUUCAUAUGUCCACCCUCCUUCCUUCCUUCCCUCCCUCCAAAAUGGAAUUGCAUCCUUUGUCCAGAGACACAGGGGAACGGGGUGUUGACCAAGAGGCAGCCUUAAGCCGAAUGUGACCCCCACGCCCGUGAGGCCUGAAACCUGCCCCCAUUGAGCCGAACGGCCCCGCUCUCAAAGUAGUGAAUUGGGGUGGGGGUUGGGAAGGUUACGAGCCAGCGAUCAAGCGCCAGAUCUGCUCACUCCAACACUUGUGUCUCAAGACUUUCUGACGAACAAAGACGAAAACAUGCAUUGCUUUAUCAAAGGGAAUUCCAAUUUGACUUCUCAAGUUAACAUGAACGCAUUAUGUUUGAACAAUACAGCAGAUGC
This is a long non-coding RNA of Pimephales promelas (fathead minnow), 544 nucleotides long. RefSeq lists it as uncharacterized. The record is from RefSeq and is a predicted model, not a curated record. NCBI's taxonomy places the organism in Eukaryota, Metazoa, Chordata, Actinopteri, Cypriniformes, Leuciscidae.